Molecule: long non-coding RNA, 322 nt
Organism: Pygoscelis adeliae (Adelie penguin)
Lineage: Eukaryota; Metazoa; Chordata; Aves; Sphenisciformes; Spheniscidae
Exons: 3
Source: RefSeq, a predicted model, not a curated record
CUUGUAUGAAAAGAAGAAGACUUCUAGGAAGCAGCGGAAGGAGCGUAAGAACAGGAUGAAGAAAGUCAGGGGCACAGCCAAGGCAAAUGUUGGUGCUGGCAAGAAGAAGAAAUGAAGUAUCUAGCAGGUACUGAAAACGAGCAUGGGUGUGGUGACUGAAUUAUACAUCACUGAAACACGUGCCCAUCCUUUUAGUUGAAGCGCUGUACUGCCUUGCAUGCGUGCAUGUUUGUUUUAAGCUUGGUUCUGUCCUGUAAGGGUUCAGGUCACUACAUGAUGAACUUUAUUCUGUGUGACUUAGAAAUAAAAUUUGGCUAAUAGC